CGGGCAGCGCCUCUGGAGGCCCCACAGCUGGAACUUUCCUGGCAGGGGCUGCACUUUGGCUCUCCCUCGGCCUCCCUGGCCAGGCUGGCAGGGGCUGCAGUUCAGAAAAGAGGUGAAAGAACGAUUCCCCAGGUGAUCUUGAUGCUGAAUGUCUCCCUAGGAGAUCUGGGCAUGGAGAGGAACAAGCCCCUUGCAGGCUGACCCAUUUUGGACAACCUGCUCCUCACCCCAGCCUCACCAUGUCUGACAUGGCCCACCUGGGACUGACAUCCCAAAACAUAAAAAAGUAUGCAUUUUAAAAAUAAAUAAGAUUGAUUAAUUUAUAAAAUUAUAAUUAUAGGUUUUUUAAUUUAUAUUAGUAUUACUGUAUAUUUCUAUUACCUUUGAUAUUUAUGUGAAAAAUUGAAUACAUUUUUAGCAGUCAAAAAAUUAUUUGUCAUUGGUUUUAAAUAAAACAAUUCCUUUCAUUAAAUCAUUGACCACUACUGGCCAUUUAUUUCUCCUUCUUAAUGCUAAUUAGUGCUAUUUUUAGAUCUUUUGACAUAUUUUUUUAUUAUUUUCAUGGACAGGGUAAAAGGGGCCACUUUGGGGUCCCUGGAGACAUUUCUGGGGCACAUUUGGGGCAGUUUUGGGUCUGGGCAGUAUGAUAAACAAGUCCACUGAAUUUAAGGAUCAAAUAAUUAUCUUUAUUAUUUUGCAAGCAAGAAUAAGCAAGGACAGCACUGGGCGGCCCGGAGUCUCCGCUCCACUUUGGCUCACAAAAUCCUAUCCCCUGAGUCCACCCUUUAUUGCCUUCUUCUCCGGGUUUAGGGAUGACGUGAUCUGUCUUCUGCACUUGCUCGUUCAGUUGCUAGGGGGUCUUUUUCUGCCUUCUGGUGGUCGUGGGAUGAAGGCUUAGUCCCCCUUAGUCUUCCUCUUUGUGAAUGCUGAGUGAACUUAUGCCUUAUAAGGCAUAUCUAUACAGAACACUAUACACUUUCUGCAAGCUCAGCAAUUCUAGCGAGUUUAAGGAUUGCUAUUACAGCUGCUUCUCAUUACUUUCCUUUCACAAGGCAUAACUUUACAAUGGAAUUCCCAAAGCACUAUAGUAAACCAGCAACCAUAUGUAUCUGCACGAGAAGUUUUUUGGCUAUUUAACUAUUGUUUUAUAUUGUAUAGUUAUUUAGCUAUUGAUUUAAUUAAUGAACAAACGUAUUACUACUUAUUACAAAUCCCCAUUUCUUUUUUUACCAAUUUUGUUCAUUAAAUCUUUCUAGUUCUUUCUUAGCAAGCAUUAAAUGAGCUGCCUCAUCAGUUAAGCUAUGUGCACUAAUUAUAGGUGCUAACUUCCUUAGUUUCUUCAUCAUAUUCCAAUUCAUAAUGAAUGGAACUGCUGACAAAAUAAAACCAAGCACAGUCAAUAUCAACAGAACAACAAUGG
Passer domesticus (house sparrow) is the source of this 1420-nucleotide long non-coding RNA. RefSeq lists it as uncharacterized. The transcript has 2 exons. NCBI's taxonomy places the organism in Eukaryota, Metazoa, Chordata, Aves, Passeriformes, Passeridae. The record is from RefSeq and is a predicted model, not a curated record.